RNAcentral lists this ribosomal RNA (719 nucleotides) under Pseudomonas fragi. Its description in RNAcentral is "bacterial SSU rRNA". It matches the Rfam family "Bacterial small subunit ribosomal RNA", at positions 26 to 740 of the family's 1533-position model. The record is from RNAcentral. Lineage: Bacteria; Pseudomonadati; Pseudomonadota; Gammaproteobacteria; Pseudomonadales; Pseudomonadaceae.
AGAUUGAACGCUGGCGGCAGGCCUAACACAUGCAAGUCGAGCGGUAGAGAGAAGCUUGCUUCUCUUGAGAGCGGCGGACGGGUGAGUAAUACCUAGGAAUCUGCCUGAUAGUGGGGGAUAACGUUCGGAAACGGACGCUAAUACCGCAUACGUCCUACGGGAGAAAGCAGGGGACCUUCGGGCCUUGCGCUAUCAGAUGAGCCUAGGUCGGAUUAGCUAGUUGGUGAGGUAAUGGCUCACCAAGGCUACGAUCCGUAACUGGUCUGAGAGGAUGAUCAGUCACACUGGAACUGAGACACGGUCCAGACUCCUACGGGAGGCAGCAGUGGGGAAUAUUGGACAAUGGGCGAAAGCCUGAUCCAGCCAUGCCGCGUGUGUGAAGAAGGUCUUCGGAUUGUAAAGCACUUUAAGUUGGGAGGAAGGGCAGUUACCUAAUACGUGAUUGUCUUGACGUUACCGACAGAAUAAGCACCGGCUAACUCUGUGCCAGCAGCCGCGGUAAUACAGAGGGUGCAAGCGUUAAUCGGAAUUACUGGGCGUAAAGCGCGCGUAGGUGGUUUGUUAAGUUGAAUGUGAAAUCCCCGGGCUCAACCUGGGAACUGCAUCCAAAACUGGCAAGCUAGAGUAUGGUAGAGGGUAGUGGAAUUUCCUGUGUAGCGGUGAAAUGCGUAGAUAUAGGAAGGAACACCAGUGGCGAAGGCGACUACCUGGACUGAUAC